RNAcentral lists this ribosomal RNA (507 nucleotides) under uncultured bacterium. RNAcentral describes it as "partial 16S ribosomal RNA". It matches the Rfam family "Bacterial small subunit ribosomal RNA", at positions 29 to 523 of the family's 1533-position model. The record is from RNAcentral.
AACGAACGCUGGCGGCAGGCUUAGCACAUGCAAGUCGAACGGCAGCGGGGGAGAAGCUUGCUUUUCCUGCCGGCGAGUGGCGAACGGGUGAGUAAUACAUCGGAACGUGCCCUGUAGUGGGGGAUAACUAGUCGAAAGAUUAGCUAAUACCGCAUACGACCUGAGGGUGAAAGUGGGGGACCGCAAGGCCUCAUGCUAUAGGAGCGGCCGAUGUCUGAUUAGCUAGUUGGUGGGGUAAAGGCCUACCAAGGCGACGAUCAGUAGCUGGUCUGAGAGGACGAUCAGCCACACUGGGACUGAGACACGGCCCAGACUCCUACGGGAGGCAGCAGUGGGGAAUUUUGGACAAUGGCGAAAGCCUGAUCCAGCAAUGCCGCGUGUGUGAAGAAGGCCUUCGGGUUGUAAAGCACUUUUGUCCGGAAAGAAAUGGCUCUGGUUAAUACCUGGGGUCGAUGACGGUACCGGAAGAAUAAGGACCGGCUAACUACGUGCCAGCCGCCGCCGUAA